This is an RNA transcript of Triticum aestivum (bread wheat), 547 nucleotides long. RefSeq lists it as uncharacterized. The transcript is spliced from 4 exons. The record is from RefSeq and is a predicted model, not a curated record. Lineage: Eukaryota; Viridiplantae; Streptophyta; Magnoliopsida; Poales; Poaceae.
CCAUCUCUCCUCUUGAUGCUGCCCUCCAACCUCCACCCGAGAUCCCAGGGCGCGCUAGGUCACCGCUCCGGCUCGCCGGCCGGGAGGUGCGUGCAGGCUACAUCAUGGAUUGGGAGAGCCGCAUGUCAUCCUCUCCUCAUGGAUCUUCGUCGGCUCCGGCUCCGUCCCUGGCCUCCAAGGCGGAUACACGGUGGUGGCCUCCCCGUGGUCCAAGUCUUCCCUAGCUUCGGCCCUAGCAGCAGGUCCCCUCCACCUGCCGCACGGCCGUGGUUCCUGCCUCGCGACUUCAGUUUCAAGUUGUUCAUUGCGAAGGUGUUGCGUGCAGGUCUGUGGUGAGGACACAAAUUUGGGGUCCAGCUCCUUGCGUGAAUGUGCAAGGAAUUUAGAACCUGCAUCUUUAAUAUAACAUGCUUACUGAAGCUGAACCUGAGCUGCUGCUUAAUUAUUGAACCUGGUGAAAACGAAGCCACUCAGACAGAGCUGCAGUGUUGUGGCUAUUUGAGAUUCAUGGGGUUCAGGAGGAUAUGUGAGAAGGAAAAGGAUUCUG